UGAAGCUACAAAAGCUUUUACGUCAAGUCCGAUCCAUUCCUGAAAAAUCCUAUAGAAAAUCCUAUCGUCCUCACCCAUGGUCUGCCUUCAACCAUCAUCCUCAAAGACGAAAAACCUAACGCCUAUACUCCUCAUUCAACACCCAUCAAAAAGGAAAACUCCAAUUCCCCAGUCCAUCAUCUUUCAUCCUUUAAAUUCCUUAAAAGAACCUAUCAUCCUCUCACUUUUCUUGACAAACUCCACCAUCUUUCAUCCUUUAAAAUCUUUAAAAGAACCUAUCAUCCUAAACUCUCAACCUAUCAUCCUCUCACUUUUCUUGAAAAAUUUCUUGUAUCAUGACCUUGUUUCCGCAGAAACGUCUUUCCUCUCACCUUCCUUGACAAAUUUAGACACAUAUAAUUUUUUCCCGUCAAGCAACUUAUCAAGCAUUAAUAGCAGCAGCUUUCUUCCACCACCUUGCAAGAGAGUAUAUUGCCAAACUUGCAGAAAAUGUCUUGAAGGGAAAAAAUUAUACGUGUCCAAAUGUGUAAGUGAAUAAUCUGGGUGAAGAUUUGACAGAGGAUACAAUUCGAGGUAAGUUCUCUGAGUUUGGAAAAGUUGGCACUGAUGUUAUCAUCAAGGAUGGCAAUGGGAAAUCCAGAGGGUUUGGUUUUGUGUACUUUGAGCUGUGGAGGCCCUCACUGGUGCAAUCCUAGGGUCAAAGAAGUCGUUUCUUGGAAGGGCUCAGAAAAAAGCUGAAAGGCAGGAUCUUCUAAAACAUGAAAAUUGCAAGAAUCUGUAUGCGAAGAAUCUUUGAUGACGAGGAAUAAAAUCGGGAAGCAGAGAAUAUUUUCCAAGAAACAUGGAAGCUUCUUGGAAUCUUCGCAUACACGUCAUCAUCAAUUUUCCAAGAAUAUUUUUUCCUCACACACAGGGUGGCGUGGGGCGCGUGGUGGUCCUGGCCUGAUUAUCUGGCUCGCUACUACGGGGACUUUGGGCUCCGAUUGGGCUGAAAUUGUAAAGCCCAACGAUCGACUCUAAAAACUAAAGAGUGAGUUUUUUUUCAUGUUUUGCAUGCGGGCUAUACGCGUCCGUUCCGCGUAGAACAGAGUAUAAAUUCAGAGUUUAGGGUAAUGGGUUGGGAUUUUGGAGGAUGAAAGAUGAUGGAGUGGGGUGUUGGGGUUUUCCUUUUUGAUGGGUGUUGAAUGAAGAGUACAGGCAUUAGGUUUUUUUGUGUUUGAGGAUGAUGGGUGAAGGCGGUUUUUAGGGUUUUGUACGACGAUCUUAUUCCAUAUUAAAAUAAAGAUGAUAGACGAAGACGUUAGAAUUUUUCUGUUAGGGUUUCUCGACGUUGGGUGAGGACGAUAGGAUUUUCUAUAGGAAUUUUUUGGGCAUGCGUUAGGAUUUUUCAGGAAUGGAUCGGGCUUGACGCAAGGAAAGGGUUCAUGAUGGUUGGUGAGUCGGUGACAUAUGUUCUUUGAUUUGUCUGUAAUUUGUAAAAAAAUUAAAAAUUUCAAGUUAUGUGUUUGUGAUUUGUUAACUUUUUGUGAGAUAUUUGGGCAAUGUCUGAGUUUUAUUUCUGAUAUUUGGUUUUGUCUUCAUUGGCAGCUAUCUGAUUACAAUCUGUUUGAACUCGUUGCACAUUUGACACAGUAGAACCCUCCUUUUAUAGAAAGUCGGGAGGAGGUUAACAACAAUUGUUGAGAAAUAUCAGGGAACUGAUGAUCAUCCAUCCCAACAAAGUCCUAUGCAAACCCUGUAUUUCAUAAUGAACCCUUUAUUAGCGAUUUGGGUAUUAACAUCUGCAGCUUGGUCUAUUACUCUCAAUGAUCCGAGUUUGAUUAGCAUGGUGGGAUAAGUUUAUUUGGAGUGCUAACAGGAGUUGUUUUUUUGGGCUUCCAAUUGAUGUUGUUUUUGCAAGAAGUGAUAUGACGUAUUAUGCAGAAUUUGAUAAGAUUAAGAGUUACAUAUAAUGAUGAGUUUCGUUGUUACCUUUUUUUUCUUCUUUUUCCUCAAUAUGGAGCAUUUUGUCCCUUGUAUCAGUGCUUUUUGUCAGAUAUCAUAAAGCCUAAUCAAGGGACAUUUGAUUUUUAGAAUUCUUUCAUUCAUAAAAGAAUGGCAUAGAGAUACUGAUUUUUUAAAUCAUCUCUUCCCUUUAAAGAACAAAAUGGAACUGUAUUUGAAUGCUUUUUUUCGGAUAUCGUAAAGCCUAAUCAAGGGACAUUUGAUUCUUAGAAUUAUUUCUUUCAUAGAAGAAUGACAUUAUAGAUACUGAUUUUUUAAAUCAUCUCUUCCCUUUGAAGAACAAAAUGGAAUUUAAGUUUUUUUGUAUUUGAACUUAAUUUUUUUUAUUUGAAAGAUUGAUUUGAGAAGUGUUCAUUUACAAUAGCUUGUAUUUGAACAAAAUGACAUUAUAGAUACUGAUUUGAAAUAAGAAUAAGUGGAGUUAUGUGGUAACAAAUUCUUAUUUAUUUAUUUUCUAUUGAAUAUCAUGUUUUUGGGGCUGUUACAUUUAUGUCUCUGAGCACUCUUCUUUAUGACAUGGACAUCAAUUUGCCUCAACUCAAUUUUUUUGAUUUCUGGUUUCAUAAGAAAGGGUCAGAGUGAGGACAUUAAAACAGGUCAGUUUUUUUAAUUUAUUUUGUUAAUUUGUAAAUAAAAACAUGGCUAAUAUAGUUGUCUAGCUCACAAAUUGAAGAGCUUUUACUAUUCUUUGGGUUACCAAGGUUUGAUAUGUGAAAACCUUAACUAUGAGGUUUUUGGAAAUAAAUAAAUAAAUACUUGUCUAUGAAGAGCUUAUUUUUUUCUCUCACUUUCCUUUGGAUUACCAAGGUUUGGUUUGUGAAGAUUUUGUCUAUGAGGUUUUGGUAAAUAAAUAAGUAAAAAUGUAUGUGGGGUUUGCACUGUGGUUUAUAUGUAAAAAGUGGUAUCUUGCCUGGGAAUUGUAUAUUGACUUGGUCAUGUGCCAUUUGUAUUUUAGGCAGCUUGUGUUUUGUUCAAGAAUUCAUUGAUUAAUUUGUUAUGUUAUUAUUGCUUCCUUUUCCCACUAAUGCCUAGAGAACUUUUUGUUGGUAGGUAAAUUUUUGUCUCCAUUGAGACUUGAACUUAAAACCUCCCAUAAACCCUCUCCAACCCUUUAGCACUUGAGCCAGACCUCAAGGGCCCACUGAUGCCCAAAGAAGUACAAUUGGAUUUUUAUAAUUCAUCUAUGCUUCUUACUUGCUUUCAUGGUGUGUUGAAGCGCUCUAGUUAUUGAUUAAUUAAAUAUUCGAAGCAAAGCAUUGAAAUUUUUUUGCUUGAGUAUAAAUAAGUUUGGAAGCUUAUGAAUUAUGGCUUUACUUCUUGGUUCAGAUUCUCAAGUUCUAUGGCCAUCCGUUUUGAGUUUGCAAGUUUGGUAGUAUACCAAUCCAUUUGUCUCCAUUUCAACAAUUAUGCAUUUUUUUUUUCUUUUUAUCAAGACAAUCUAAAAGACAUGAAAAUGAUUGCUAUUGAAACCUUUUGAUUUACAUAUUGAAAGCCAAUCAAGUUGAAUAAUGUUGAGAGGAAUGCCCUUGUAGAGGCCCAAAAAGAUGAAUAGAAGUAGACUAGGUCCCAUAUCGUUUGAAAAGUCAUCCAUUUGUCCUUAGAGAUCCUUGUAUUUUUUAUGUAGGGCAACCCUAGGAUGACUAUCUACCAUCAAAUAGGUGGGUUAGGGGUUUAAGGAGAGGAAUAAGAGAUAAAGUUUAUGACAACAACAUAAAAGGAAAAAAAAAUAGAGAACUAAGAUAAAAAGAAGGGGUAGAACUUUAGAGUUGCACUCAGGACUUCUAGGAGACUCCACAAGAAAACAUAGUAUUAUUAAUCAUCAAUCAAUUAAUACUUUGGUUUACAUUAAUUAGCCUUAUUUAUAGACAUCUAAGAAAUCCAGAGUGUAUUAGGAUUUUAACAACCUAUUAUGACUCUAAUUCUAAUUCUCCUAUAACCUAAUUAUGAUUCUAAUAAUUGACUACUCCUAAUUUAACUCCAACAAAUACUAAUCCUAAUUUAAUUCAAAGUAAUACUAGUCUUACUUAAAUUGCAACAAAUCUAUCUUAGAGAUUCAACCUCAUCAAUUUCUUUGUUACCAUACUGUCUAAAUAAAUGUAAGAUCAACAAUUUUUCAUCCCUUAGCAAUCUUUCUUGUAUACCUGAGAUGUUGUACAAUACCAUAGGAGGAUAUGUCUAUAUUUCUUUGUAGAUAAUUAUUUUUUUAUUAUGAGUAUUAGUUAUAUUAUUAUGAGGUUUGGUUCAAUAAGGUUGUUGAUAGCUUUUGAUGUGAUUUUAAUAUAUAUAUAUAUAUAUAUAUAUAUAUAUAUAUAUUUUUUUUUAGAUUUUAGAAUCUCAUCUUUCAAACAUGGAAGCUCUCUGUGUGUGGAACUUUUCAGGAAAUUUACUAUGUGGGUAGGGUUCUUUCACAAAUAAGUGAAGGAACCUAAGCAAAUUAGGAUCAGAAAUGGGACGGUGUUGAUGUAUGUCACUUUAGCAGGUGCAGGUUUGACUUUGGCAGAUGAUGUAUGUCACUUUAGCACAUGGUUCAAAAUAUCGGUGGAGUCUAAUAUGACUUGGCCGAGUCGUAUUUGUCUGGAACCUUUCUGCGUCGAGUCCGAUACCCGGUACCAUCUUCAACACAGACCCAACUAAGAAUCGGUUAAACUUGGUCGCCUCGGUUGAGAUUCAGUGUGAACUUGGUGGAAAUUAUGAGUUCAAUCGUUUAAGAUCUAAAUAUUCUCAGAUUAAACCAAAUUUUUUUCCCUUUCAAAUCACAACAAAGGGCAACCAAAACUGAGAAAUCUUUAAUAAAUAUGAGAGAUUCUCUUAAAAAUAAUUUUUUUUUUCAAGAUCCAUAGCCGUGAAGGAUAAGAAGAAGAAGAAAGAAAGCUUUGUGUCAGUGAUGUAGUCGUGGUGACCGACCACAUCACAUUCUUUCAUUGAUGAUGAUCGUUGCAUGUUGGUGUUGCCUUUCCUUGCUCGAUCUCCGUAGUGUUGUUUGGCUGUGUACUAUAGAGAGGCUUUUGCUUCUGCAAACCGGGUAUCCCGUGGUGUGAAUAAGGGAUGUUUUGGAUUGAGAAUUUAAGAAAAGGGCUUAAUGCAUUGUUUUAUAUAAAAAUGAUUUAUUAUUUCAAAUGUUCAUGUAUUUGCAUCAUUUUACCUUAUAUGCCAACGGUAUUUGGAAUUAGAAAUUUGAAAAUUAGUAUUUUAUAUAUUAAAUAUGGUAUGAAUGACUUUAAUUUAGGUAACAUAUUAUUUUACAUGGUAAUGGUAUUAUAUAAGGUGUAUUAUUUUAUAUGUUAAUUUAUUAUUAAUAAUUUAAGAAAUUAUUUCAUUUAUUAUUAUGUUAAUGAUUUAUUAUUAAGUUUAUUAGUUUUGUUAAUUCAUUUAAUUAUAUUAAAAAUAAUUUUUAUAAUUUUUUGAACUUUUAAGUAUCUUGUUCUGCGUAUAGCCCGAUACGGAACCGAGACGCCAUGUGCCUUAGAACCCUCUCAGUCAAUGACUGAUACUGCGAUUUUGAACCAUGCUUUAGCAGCUGCAUUUAUAUCAGACCUGCACCUGCUGAAGUGAGAUCCAUACAUAACCCAGAUAAGUGGCAUACAUAAAGACUGUAGUGUUGACCUUGCAUCAAUCAGUCUUUUCUUUUCCUCAUAUUUGGCUGAAACUGUGUGCACUUUUUUGUCAUUCUAGAAAAUGUUGGUAGACCAUAUGAUUUUAGACUAUUUCUAACAGAAUCCAUCUUUCAUGGUUAAUUCUUCUGUUCAGACUUGGUUCAUCUGGGUUCCUGUAAUGGUAUGCAGGCCAGGUUAAAUUUUUGCUUCUUCUUUGGUCUUCAUUCUUUCUGUUUACCAAGCAUGUUUUCAUGUAAUUUUUUUAGUCUUUGAUUUUGAGAAACUGGUACAUAUUUUCAAAGUACUUCAGAAAGGAUUUGAUAGAUUGGUAAACCUGUUUCAAGCCAUCUGAUUUUCAUGUUGUAUCUGAUAUUUUCAAAGUAUAUCAGAAAGGAUUUGAUGGAUUGGUAAACUUUUUCAAGCCAUCUGAUUUUUAUGUUGUAUUUGAGUUAUAUCCAUGAGUAGGAGAAAGAAUAGCAGCGUUGGAUUUGCGUUAAUUCUGCAGAUGCCUGAUGGGCUUCCUUGUGUGAUAAUUCUACUUUCUAUUGUUUUGUUUCUAUUUGGGGAUUUCUUGGUAGGCAUGGUUAAAUUUCUUAUUAAAUUGUAUAAGUCGAAUGCACUAUAGAAAUCCCUUCAAUUUGUAAUCGCUGUCAUUAUGGUGUGGGCUGUAGCAUUGAGAUUUACCUAUGUAUUUGUAGGUUUUGAAUGGGGACUAUUUGUUCCAUGCUGAGUGAUGGUGGUAUUUUCACGAUUUUGGAUUCAUUAUGUGUUUUGGGCUGAUGAUUAUUUUGGUUUCUGCAGGAAAUAAUAUGAUGUGGGAUGUGGGGUUGAUGUGAUGGUGGUAUUUCCAUGAUUUUGGAGUCAUUAUGUGUUUUGGGCUGAUAAUUGUUUAGGUUUCAUCAGGACAUAAUAUGAUGUGGGAUGUAGGGUUGAUGCAUAUAAUAUAAAUUGAUUUUUCAUAUAAAUUGAUGCAUAUAAUAUAAAUUGCCU
Vitis vinifera (wine grape) is the source of this 6587-nucleotide long non-coding RNA. RefSeq lists it as uncharacterized. The transcript has 2 exons. Lineage: Eukaryota; Viridiplantae; Streptophyta; Magnoliopsida; Vitales; Vitaceae. The record is from RefSeq and is a predicted model, not a curated record.